This 497-nucleotide ribosomal RNA is filed under the name uncultured bacterium. RNAcentral describes it as "partial 16S ribosomal RNA". It matches the Rfam family "Bacterial small subunit ribosomal RNA", at positions 28 to 507 of the family's 1533-position model. The record is from RNAcentral.
GAUGAACGCUGGCGGCGUGCCUAAUACAUGCAAGUCGAGCGAACGGAUGAGAAGCUUGCUUCUCUGAUGUUAGCGGCGGACGGGUGAGUAACACGUGGAUACCCUACCUAUAAGACUGGGAUAACUUCGGGAAACCGGAGCCAAUACCGGAUAAUAUUUUGAACCGCAUGGUUCAAUAGUGAAACACGGUCUAGCUGUCACUUAUACAUGGAUCCGCGCUGCAUUAGCUAGUUGGUAAGGUAACGGCUUACCAAGGCAACGAUGCAUAGCCGACCUGAGAGGGUGAUCAGCCACACUGGAACUGAGACACGGUCCAGACUCCUACGGGAGGCAGCAGUAGGGAAUCUUCCGCAAUGGGCGAAAGCCUGACGGAGCAACGCCGCGUGAGUGAUGAAGGUCUUCGGAUCGUAAAACUCUGUUAUUAGGGAAGAACAUAUGUAUAAGUAACUGUGCACAUCUGGACGGUACCUAAUCAGAAAGCCACGGCUAACUUCGUG